GGGUCUCUAGUUCUGACGUCUGGGCUUCUCUUGUCUUGGACUGUGGACUCUGCACAUGGCAUUCAGAUGGUUUUCUGUGUGUCGAAAUAAAAGCAUGUGAGGGUAGUUCCUGCCCGGAGGACUCUCUCGGAGUCCAUGCUUUCCUGGUUUGAAUGUACGCAGUUGUCUCUCAAGAAAAGUGACCCUCUCACCCAUCUCCCCACCAGCUCAGUGAAUGAGUGCCCGCUGCGGUUCUUCACUUUGGAUCUUGUAGACUCUACAUUAGACAUCGCUUUUCUUCAGGGCUCUGAGGUCGUGUUCUCUUGACAUGGACAAAAAUAGUGCUGGUCAGAGGGUAGGGCGGCUGGGUCACCUCAGGCCCAGAGUGGCCAAGCAGGGACUUGAGAAGAAGGUGCUGCUCUUUGCUUUUCUGUCCAAGCUGUCCAGCACCUGAUCUAGUGCCUCUUCCCUGCAGGGCAGGGACCCCUAG
Molecule: long non-coding RNA, 469 nt
Filed under: Androctonus crassicauda
Lineage: Eukaryota; Metazoa; Arthropoda; Arachnida; Scorpiones; Buthidae
Source: RNAcentral